Molecule: unclassified non-coding RNA, 243 nt
Filed under: Glomeraceae sp.
Lineage: Eukaryota; Fungi; Glomeromycota; Glomeromycetes; Glomerales; Glomeraceae
Description: partial contains 5.8S ribosomal RNA and internal transcribed spacer 2
Rfam family: 5.8S ribosomal RNA (bases 1-71)
Source: RNAcentral
GUGAAUCAUCAAAUUUUUGAACGCAAAUUACGCUCUCUGGUAUUCCGGAGAGUAUGCCUGUUUGAGGAUCAGUUUAAAUAAAAAUCGGUUUGUUUGCUGCCUUUCUUGGUGACGCACCGGUUUUGAGUCGUCUUGCCUUCGGUUGAGUUACCUAGAAUUUUUCAUGAUUUUGUUCGAACGUAUUUAAAUGAUUUUACGUACGUUUACGUUAGCGAAUACUAGGGGUGGUCAUCCUCAUGAUUC